UACAUGUGGGGCAAGCGUUGUUCGGAAUUACUGGGCAUAAAGGGCGCGUAGGCGGCCUGCUAAGUCGAACGUGAAAUCCCCGAGCUCAACUCGGGAACUGCGUCCGAUACUGGCAGGCUUGAAUCCGGGAGAGGGAUGCGGAAUUCCAGGUGUAGCGGUGAAAUGCGUAGAUAUCUGGAGGAACACCGGUGGCGAAGGCGGCAUCCUGGACCGGCAUUGACGCUGAGGCGCGAAAGCCAGGGGAGCAAACGGG
Molecule: ribosomal RNA, 253 nt
Filed under: uncultured bacterium
Lineage: Bacteria
Description: partial 16S ribosomal RNA
Rfam family: Bacterial small subunit ribosomal RNA
Source: RNAcentral